GGCAGUGCUUAGUUCCUUCAGUUCUUAAAAAGGGCCUUAUAAGAAAGAUUGGGAGAGACUUUUUAGCAGGGUCUCUUGCGAUAGGAUGAGGGAUAAUGUUUCUAAAC
Long non-coding RNA from Strigops habroptila (Kakapo), 107 nucleotides. RefSeq lists it as uncharacterized. Lineage: Eukaryota; Metazoa; Chordata; Aves; Psittaciformes; Psittacidae. The transcript has 3 exons. The record is from RefSeq and is a predicted model, not a curated record.